RNAcentral lists this ribosomal RNA (403 nucleotides) under uncultured bacterium. RNAcentral's name for it is "bacterial SSU rRNA". It matches the Rfam family "Bacterial small subunit ribosomal RNA", at positions 356 to 773 of the family's 1533-position model. The record is from RNAcentral.
GGGGAAUAUUGCGCAAUGGGGGAAACCCUGACGCAGCAACGCCGCGUGAAGGAAGAAGGCCUUCGGGUUGUAAACUUUUGUCUUUAGGGAAGAAAAAAAUGACGGUACCUAAGGAGGAAGCCACGGCUAACUACGUGCCAGCAGCCGCGGUAAUACGUAGGUGGCAAGCGUUAUCCGGAUUUACUGGGUGUAAAGGGAGCGUAGGCGGGACUUUAAGUCAGAUGUGAAAUGCUGGGGCUCAACCCCAGAGCUGCAUUUGAAACUGGAGUUCUUGAGUGUCGGAGAGGUAAGUGGAAUUCCUAGUGUAGCGGUGAAAUGCGUAGAUAUUAGGAGGAACACCAGUGGCGAAGGCGACUUACUGGACGAUAACUGACGCUGAGGCUCGAAAGUGUGGGGAGCAAAC